GCAAGGACGAGGGCUCCUUAAGUCUUCUCAUUCUUCAUACAGAAAUACCAGACUCCAGAUGUGAAGACCCUGGCCACCUGAUGUGGCUGGCCAGAUAGGUGUCCCCUUCUUCUCCCAUUGCAUGUGCAUCCAGAGCUUAGUAUUCGGUCACAAAAGAUGACCUUCCCUAAUGGAGAACCAUUCUUUAGUCAAGGGCAUUCUAGAAGCUUCAUGUAUCUUCUAGGAUCUCUAAACAAUCCAUCAAGAAAUGCCAAGCUCCUGUG
This 263-nucleotide small RNA is filed under the name Mesocricetus auratus (golden hamster). Its description in RNAcentral is "7SK RNA (ENSMAUG00000003754.1)". It matches the Rfam family "7SK RNA", at positions 47 to 249 of the family's 331-position model. Rfam says of the family: 7SK was discovered as an abundant small nuclear RNA in the mid-70s but a possible function has only recently been suggested. Two independent studies have found that 7SK RNA binds the CDK9/cyclin T complex (known as elongation factor P-TEFb). Lineage: Eukaryota; Metazoa; Chordata; Mammalia; Rodentia; Cricetidae. The record is from RNAcentral.